This 452-nucleotide ribosomal RNA is filed under the name Rhinella merianae. RNAcentral describes it as "partial large subunit ribosomal RNA". It matches the Rfam family "Bacterial large subunit ribosomal RNA", at positions 2010 to 2611 of the family's 2925-position model. Lineage: Eukaryota; Metazoa; Chordata; Amphibia; Anura; Bufonidae. The record is from RNAcentral.
GUUAUACUGUCUCCUUUUCCUAAUCAGUGAAACUAAUCUCCCCGUGAAGAAGCGUGGAUAAAAUUAUAAGACGAGAAGACCCUAUGGAGCUUUAAACAACACAGCACUUACCUGAGAACCUUGAAUGUUUCUGUANACACUNAACUCUNUAGAGUAAGAUGACUGCAAGUUUUUGGUUGGGGUGACCACGGAGUAUAUCAUAACCUCCAUGUUGAAAGAAUUUUNNUCUAAGCCAAGAACAACCUGUCUAAGCAUUAAUAAAUUAACAUCUAUUGACCCAAUAAAUUUGACCAACGAACCAAGUUACCCUAGGGAUAACAGCGCAAUCCACUUCAAGAGCUCCUAUCGACAAGUGGGUUUACGACCUCGAUGUUGGAUCAGGGUAUCCCAGUGGUGCAGCCGCUACUAAAGGUUCGUUUGUUCAACGAUUAAAACCCUACGUGAUCUGAGUU